RNAcentral lists this ribosomal RNA (347 nucleotides) under Aschersonia sp. Ap. RNAcentral's name for it is "partial 26S ribosomal RNA". It matches the Rfam family "Eukaryotic large subunit ribosomal RNA", at positions 82 to 426 of the family's 3401-position model. The record is from RNAcentral. Lineage: Eukaryota; Fungi; Ascomycota; Sordariomycetes; Hypocreales; Clavicipitaceae.
AGUAACGGCGAGUGAAGCGGCAACAGCUCAAAUUUGAAAUCUGGCCCCCCCCGGGGGGCCCGAGUUGUAAUUUGCAGAGGAUGCUUUGGGCGAGGCGCCUUCCGAGUUCCCUGGAACGGGACGCCACAGAGGGUGAGAGCCCCGUCUGGUCGGACGCCGAGCCUCUGUAAAGCUCCUUCGACGAGUCGAGUAGUUUGGGAAUGCUGCUCAAAAUGGGAGGUAUAUGUCUUCUAAAGCUAAAUACCGGCCAGAGACCGAUAGCGCACAAGUACAGUGAUGGAAAGAUGAAAAGCACCUUGAAAAGGGGGUUAAACAGUACGUGAAAUUGUUGAAAGGGAAGCGCUCGU